This 301-nucleotide ribosomal RNA is filed under the name Opisthopatus cinctipes. RNAcentral's name for it is "partial 12S ribosomal RNA". Lineage: Eukaryota; Metazoa; Onychophora; Udeonychophora; Euonychophora; Peripatopsidae. The record is from RNAcentral.
AAACUCAAUAAUUUGACGGUUAUUAUUAUCAUAAAGGAGCUUGUAAUUUAAUCGAUACUACACGAACUAUUUUACUUAUAUUAAUUUUGUAUACCUCCGUACUAAUCUUAUACAAAAUUGUAUUAAUUAUUAAAAAUAAUCUAAGUUUAUAUUUCAGGUCAAGGUGCAGUAUAUAUAAGAUAUUAUGUGCUUUAAUAACUAAUUAAUUAGAUGAGUUUAAUUUGAAACAGUUAAAUUAAGUGAAUUUAUAAGUAAAAAUAAAUAAAAUAUUUUUUUGAAAGCAAAAUAAUUAUGUACACAU